GAUGAAGAACGUAGUGAAAUGCGAUACGUAAUGUGAAUUGCAGAAUUCAGUGGAUCAUCGAAUCUUUGAACGCACAUUGCACUCCUUGGUAUUCCGAGGAGUAUGCCUGUUUCAGUAUCAUGAGCACUCUCACAUCUAACCUUUGGGUUAAAAUGUGGAAUUGGGAUGCGCCGGUUAUUAUAACGGCCCUCCUAAAAUUCAGUUCUUGGCUGCUUCCUACUACAGCAGUUUGGCCUAAUAGUUUUGAGUCUUCGAUUCAAAUCUUUGGCUAACAUUUGCUUCAGGAUGUCAGUCUUGAUAUACAGAAAUCUCAUUCAAACUUUGAUCUGAAAUCAGGUAGGGCUACCCGCUGAACUUAAGCAUAUCAAUAAGCGGAGGA
Molecule: unclassified non-coding RNA, 379 nt
Filed under: soil metagenome
Description: partial contains 5.8S ribosomal RNA, internal transcribed spacer 2, and large subunit ribosomal RNA
Rfam family: 5.8S ribosomal RNA (bases 1-120)
Source: RNAcentral